Molecule: ribosomal RNA, 495 nt
Filed under: uncultured bacterium
Lineage: Bacteria
Description: partial 16S ribosomal RNA
Rfam family: Bacterial small subunit ribosomal RNA
Source: RNAcentral
GACGAACGCUGGCGGCGUGCCUAAUACAUGCAAGUAGAACGCUGAAGGAGGAGCUUGCUUCUCCGGAUGAGUUGCGAACGGGUGAGUAACGCGUAGGUAUCCUGCCUGGUAGCGGGGGAUAACUAUUGGAAACGAUAGCUAAUACCGCAUAAGAGUAGAUGUCGCAUGACAUUUGCUUAAAAGGUGCAACUGCACCACUACCAGAUGGACCUGCGUUGUAUUAGCUAGUUGGUGAGGUAACGGCUCACCAAGGCAACGAUACAUAGCCGACCUGAGAGGGUGAUCGGCCACACUGGGACUGAGACACGGCCCAGACUCCUACGGGAGGCAGCAGUAGGGAAUCUUCGGCAAUGGACGGAAGUCUGACCGAGCAACGCCGCGUGAGUGAAGAAGGUUUUCGGAUCGUAAAGCUCUGUUGUAAGAGAAGAACGAGUGUGAGAGUGGAAAGUUCACACUGUGACGGUAUCUUACCAGAAAGGGACGGCUAACUACGUG